Molecule: long non-coding RNA, 328 nt
Organism: Centropristis striata (black sea bass)
Lineage: Eukaryota; Metazoa; Chordata; Actinopteri; Perciformes; Serranidae
Exons: 3
Source: RefSeq, a predicted model, not a curated record
AUAGUCGCACAUUCAUAUUAUAAAACUCUGGGUAAAAGUAAGUUAGGUAUCCUUUUCUGGGAGGUGGUUACAGCUAACUGCUUAGCAGCCUGUGGUUUCUGAACAGAGAAGGUCCAUGUACAUGCUCACUCUUUCAUUACUGUCUUAAAUAAAUAGUCAAAAGGAUUUUACUCUCCUCUCAUCUGUUCUGCAAAAAAACAAACUCUAACAAUGUCUACAUCUGUUCUAAGGUGUGAAUCAGCUCCCAGAAGGACCACGAAGGACAGAAAAAUCAGGAGAGGAGUGCCACUAAAGGAUGAGCAACAACCCGUGCAACAGCAGCCAGAGG